RNAcentral lists this long non-coding RNA (1089 nucleotides) under Anolis carolinensis (green anole). RNAcentral describes it as "lncRNA (ENSACAG00000045026.1)". Lineage: Eukaryota; Metazoa; Chordata; Lepidosauria; Squamata; Anolidae. The record is from RNAcentral.
AUGGAGUUUGGUUUGGACAAAUGUUCGACAGUGGCAUUGAAGAAGGGAAAAAUCAUUGAAAGUGAGGGCAUAAAUAUGCCCAAUGGCCAAACAAUAAGGUGUCACCAGCCAGAGGCCUAUAAAUAUCUGGGCAUAUUGCAACUGGACAACAUCAAGCAUGAACAUGUGAAAACUGUGGUCAGCAAAGAAUACACACAAAGGGUCAGAAAAAUUCUCAAAAGCAAGCUCAAUGGAGGCAACACCAUCAAGGCCAUAAACACCUGGGCCAUACCUGUCAUAAGAUAUACUGCUGGCAUCAUAAACUGGACACAGAUGGAACUGGACAAUUUGGACAGAAAAACAAGAAAACUCAUGACCAUUCAUCAUUCACUGCACCCUCGCAGUGAUGUUGACCGGCUCUAUCUGCCUAGAAGAUCAGGGGGCAGAAGACUCUUGCAAGUAAAACAAGCAGUCAAAGAAGAAGAACAUGCCCUGGCAGAAUAUGUAAAGCAAAGUGAAGAACUUGCUUUGAUUGAAGUCAAAAAUCAGAAACUCCUCAAAGCACAGCAGACAAAAAACCAGUACAAGAAAGCCACACUACAAACUAGAGCUGACAGCUGGCACAACAAAACACUACAUGGAAAGUUCCUUGACAAAAUUGAAGGAAAAGCUGAUAAGGAGAAGACCUGGCUCUGGCUCACGAAUGGGACCCUGAAGAAGGAGACAGAAGGCCUGAUCCUUGCAGCCCAGGAGCAAGCCAUCAGAACAAAUGCAAUUAAGGCCAAGAUCGAAAAAUCAGCUGAUGACCCAAAAUGCAGACUGUGCAAGGAAACCAACGAAACCAUUGAUCAUAUCCUCAGCUGCUGUAAGAAAAUUGCACAGACAGACUACAAACAGAGGCACAACUCUGUGGCCCAAAUGAUUCAUUGGAACUUAUGCCUCAAGUACCACCUCCCAGCAGCAAAGAACUGGUGGGAUCGCAAACCUGCAAAGGUUGUGGAAAAUGAGCACGCAAAGAUACUAUGGGACUUCCGAAUCCAGACUGACAAAGUUCUGGAACACAACACCAGACAUCACAGUUGUGGAAAAGAAAAAGGUUUGGAUCAUUGA